UAAUACAGUGUUUCUAUAUGGCACUUUUAAUAUCCAUAUCCACCUUGUGUGCAAUGUCGGUCGAUCUCUUCUUCAUGGAGAUCGACCAAAACAUCCAACCUUUAUUUUUUAACUCUUUGUCUGAAAAAUAUUAUGAAUAAACGAAUUCAAAAUA
RNAcentral lists this unclassified non-coding RNA (154 nucleotides) under soil metagenome. RNAcentral describes it as "partial internal transcribed spacer 1". The record is from RNAcentral.